CUCUUAGAAGAAGAGGCUAAAGAAGCAAUGUUCUUUGUACCUUGCAAGGCUUUUUGCAUCUUGAAAUGCUUACAAGGACUAUAGGGUAUCUCUGCAUUGACGUGUUAUCUGAAAAGGGGAUAAGAGCUGAUCCAGAUCAACACAAGCUUGGACCUCCGUCGUCUUCUUGACGGACAUUAUUUACCUACUCGGAAUUGACGCUGGACUGGCUGACUGACUACGACCUGGGACUACCCUUUCUUGACUAUCGUUGGAAUUCGUGGAAUCUAAGACGCCUGCACCUGGUAAUCGACCUCGGACCGGACUGGGACCCCGCUGACCGCUGCAAUCCUUGAUUGAUGUGUUUGGACCCGGAGUUCGCCCGCUGCACGGAGGAGUAACAACUUAGUUGCUCAACCACAGCUAUUGAGUAGCAGAGAGGAAUCUGCUGCUAGUAUUUAUGUUCUAUUGAAUCUUUGUUUACCAGCUUUUGUUUGUUUAUAGUCCCAGGCUGAAGUAAGCGUUUUUGGUUUAACCCGGAUUAAACUCCUGUUUAAUCCGGUUUAUCUUUUGAACCAUUUUUGAGUGACUUUUCAUAUUGAAGGCGAGUGUUUGCCUAGCUCUUUGUUUUUUACGAGCAUUUUUGGUUCUUUAUCUUUAAUAAACUGUGUCGAAUCUUAUCUACUGGCGUUCUGUCCUUGACAGACACCUUCCCACUUCUGCAGCGACCAAGGACUUGGCAGUCAAACCAUCCCAGGACUGAUCCAAGAUCCAAUACCCUGGAUCAUCCCCAAGAUAAAGUGUCAGUGUAGAUGUAUCCAGAAUUUUCUACUUUAGUUUCUAUAGUUCUCUAUACUGCUAUAAUGUAUAUGCCAGAGGGUUAUCCUAUCCUCUACAGAACAUUUUCAAGAUACAAAAGUGGAUUCCAGAGUGGACAAGAAAUCACAAUAUUGUUUAAAAGGAUGUUUUGAUACAUGCAAAUUACUGAGAUGAUAUCACAAUUCUAUUAAAUAUCUCUGCACUGAUCCCAACAUUGGUCUUACAGUUGCAGAUGGCUCAUUUUGCAUAUAAGUUGAGCGAACUUCUCAAAUAUCUGUAUCCUAUUGCAAUAAUUCUAUAGCUAUAUGUUGUACCUGGAUUUAGAACAUCUGCUCAUGAUAACUAUUAGGCUUGUCUGAUCGAUGGAAAAAAUGUUUCAAUUCUCGUUUCUAAAGUAGGGGGUGCCGGCGCUUCAAUAUAGAAAUUAUUUCUGAAUUUUUCACCCAAAACUUUCAGAUAUUUCCAAAAAUUCGUAAUGUUUCUAAAAUGUUUCUAAAAUGGCGGACGCGCAUGCGCAAUCGCCAAAAAAAAUAGAAAAUGGGGGGGACUUUUACAGGGCUCUCCCACCCUCAUUUCUUGAGCUAUCCUCAUCGAAUUUGGUACAGUGGGAGAUCACAUUCAACACUCUUUGCCCAACAAAUUGCAGAACGUUUCCUGUCUCCUAUGAUUUUUGGCGAAUUUUCAUAACUUUUUAUAAUACACUAUUUUUCAAUAUUUGAAGAAACCUGUCCCUGGUUUGAAAGUCUUAUUUCCUGUUCAAUUGGGUUCUUAUCACUGUAAAAGUCCCUCUUCUACUUGUGUAGACUUUGGAUUAGAAACGCAGCACACGCCAAGCAAUGCCUUGGCAGGAGUGCCACUGUCCUUUGGAAACUAUAAAUUGCCUUUGAACCUUUUGAUCAAUGGUGCCACUGGCUGACCUUGUGAGUGCAAAAAUGAAACUCUGGCUGAGGACUUUGGAUUAGAAAUGCAACACACGCCAAGCAAUGCCUUGACAGGAUUGGCAAUGUCCUUUGGAAACUAUAAAUUGCUGUGGACCCUCUAUUGAAUCAAAUCAAUGUCUGACUUUGUGAUUGCAGAAAUAAAACUCAGCCCAAGGCUUGGGAAUAGAAAUGGAGCACGAGGGAAGCAAUGCCUUGGCAGGAGUGCCCACGUCCUUUGGAAACUAUAAAUUGCUGUGGACCCUCUAUUGAAUCAAAUCAAUGUCUGACUUUGUGAUUACAGAAAUAAAACUCAGCCCAAGGCUUGGGAAUAGAAAUGGAGCGCAAGGGAAGCAAUGCCUUGGCAGGUGCCCCACGUCCUUUGGAAACUAUUUCUUCCAAUGUACCCUUUAGGUUUGAAAACAAUGUGUGCCUUUGUGAUUGCUGCAAUAACACUCAGCCCGGGGGCUUGGGAUGACAAACGGAGCGGGAGGGAAGCAAUGCACUUGCAGGAACGCAGACGUCCUUUGGAAACUAUUAUUUUCAAGUCCCCCCCCCUUUCAGGAUUGCAAAGAAGGGCUGAUGAGGUGAUUGCUAAAUUCCAAAAAAGAAAACAGAAAGGCAAAGGGACUCCCUCUGGAGUAGAAAAGUAAAGCACCCCAAGCUCUGCACUUGCAGGAACGCAAACGUCCUUUGGAAAAUAAAAGUUUCCUAAAGCCACAGCAAGGACUCUGCCACAAGCCCCAAGCCAAUUUCCCAAAAAAAAACCCCACAAUAUCGAACCAGCAACAACAGACAGACACUGUACCCCCUAUAGCCAGAACAGUCACUUAGCCCUCCCUCCCCCAAGCAAGCAAGCAGCUUCCCAGCGUGCGCGAACCACCCUCUCUGCUCGGUAUCCUAGCCCAGAAUGGCUUGGCUCAGUUGGGGAGGGGAUUUUUAUAGAGAUCCUCCACGUGGACGCGGAGGACACU
Molecule: long non-coding RNA, 2689 nt
Organism: Anolis carolinensis (green anole)
Lineage: Eukaryota; Metazoa; Chordata; Lepidosauria; Squamata; Anolidae
Exons: 3
Source: RefSeq, a predicted model, not a curated record